This is a long non-coding RNA of Artibeus jamaicensis (Jamaican fruit-eating bat), 3832 nucleotides long. RefSeq lists it as uncharacterized. NCBI's taxonomy places the organism in Eukaryota, Metazoa, Chordata, Mammalia, Chiroptera, Phyllostomidae. The transcript has 4 exons. The record is from RefSeq and is a predicted model, not a curated record.
UCUGAGAGGAUAUGAGGGCUACAGCAGCUGCAGCCACCUUGCCCCUUCAAGGGCAAAACUGGGAGCUGCUUGGGGCAUGACCUGAGUCAGAAGAACAAAGCCAACCCAGUGAGAAACAGCAGGUUGCUGGUUUCUUCAAUCAGGGGAGCAGUGAACAAUGACCGCCUCCAGCACCGAUUCAUUCACAGACCCAGCCUUCCUCUCCGCCUCCUCCCCCAUCAGCCCGUUGGCUGUUAGAGCUCCUUUCAUCAGACUCGUCUUCAAGUCUUCCCACUUUUCAGCUCCGAUGUCAGUUCUGCAUCUAGUUGAAAUUCCUUUGCAACAUUGCGAUGUCUGAUUGGAAUGAGGGAUGAACACUUGGGAGGAGUCAAGAAUGGCCCAGGUCUGCAUCCUGGAUGAGUGUUUUUGGAGUUUCUCUGGCUCACCACUUGACAGGCAUCAUUCAUAGACUAUCAUAUUCCAGGUGCUGAAGCCCCCUGGUGACUAGUUGGAUACAAACACAAAGGAACCCUAGAACUGAACCUUCAGGAAAGGAAGAGGCACUGUAACAGGGAUCUCAGAGGAAACCUGAGCACCAGGACAGGGGCAUCAAGGAGAAGUCGGUAGUAAGAUGAGGCCUGGAGGGACCAUCGGCUUCUGCAAGUUGGAGUUUGCUGCUCAACAGGCGGAAGCAGAGGCUCGACCCAGACUGAUCUGAGGAGAAACUGGGGCUGGUGUGGAUAGAGCAGCUGCAGAGAACUCACAGAAUUUUGACGUGAAGGGGAGAGAGAAAAUGGGGAGACGGCUGGAGGGAGACGUAUGGUCAAGUAGAUGUUUGUUAAAGCUUUUAAAAAAUGUGGGAUGUUGGGGCAUGUUAUUUUCAGAAGCUGGGGGUAUUCUAGUAUAAAGGGAGAAAUCGGUAAGGAAAGAGGGGUGCAGAGUGCCAGUGGAAGGGUUGGCUCCGAUAGGUGCGCAAACCCUUAGUUCACCUAAGAGUUGGGAAGGCCGUGAACGUAGGCAAGGCACAGACUUGUUGGCAGAGGAAAGGGCUUCUGUCUGAUUGGUUGUACUGUCUCCAUAAUGUAUGAGGCAAGCUCAUCUUUUCAGAGUGAAGGAUGAGAAGGGGACAAAGGAGAGUGAAAAAUCAUCCUUACAGAGUGCGGGUAAUUGAAUGCAGCAGGGAAGUACAGCAGAAUUGUCUCCUGCUAUAGUCUUCUUUGCCAUUUGUGGUCAUCAGUUUAAAGUGACACUAGUCACUUUCAGUUUCCCAAUGUUUUUAUAUUCCAAUUUAACCGGAGAGUAGGAGGUUGGCUGGGUUUAACUAUGUCGGGCGAACUAGGAGACAAUGGGCAAAGGGGUUACGGGUUUUUGUGAGGACGUGAGUCUCGGGAUCAUUGCUAAGCUGGUUAAGCAGGAGCAGGAGCCUGUGGGGGAAGCUAAAUAUGAAAAUCUGGCAGGAUCAAAGGUUUGCAGGUCUUGGUGAAGUUGAAGAAAUGCUUGUGUGUGAUAUUUUAGUAAAGAAGCUAAAGUCAGAUCUGAGAUCUUUGCAGUUGUGUUUUCUGAGAUAGCGCAGUUAUUGGUGAGAGCGAGUCCAGGGUAAGACCAAUGAGAGGGGGUAUUUGAAGACAGGAUAAGGGAAAACUUCACUGGUAGGGAAGAAACAUGUAACGGAGACGUCCGUAAGAUUUCUGAUAGAUUAUGCUUAUGGAUUUGAGGUUGUAGAGUAAGGUGCAGGAACUGAGAUGAAAGCCAGUUCAUGAGAGCAAAAAAGAGAGGUUGCAGGUGGGAAAAUACAAUAGUGAGAACUUGAAGGGGAUUGGGUUCUUGAAAGAGGGAGGAGGAAAAGUACCAAAAAUAUUUAUGGCGCUUGCCUGCCUACCCACAGCCUCUUGUAGGCAGUCAUGAUGCCAGCUGCCCCCACACUCAUAGCAAUAGUUGACUGGUCAAGGGGUGAGCUCUGACCUACGGGCCACCAGUCUGUGGACUGGCCAGUGACCUGUUCAAUGAGCUGUCGGCACUAAAAGAUGCAUUAACUGGAUUCUGUCUUGGGGUCUGAAUUAUGAAACAAAAAGAAUUUGCUAGUUAAUAGAGUAAGUGGAUGCAGAGAAUAAAGGAGGACAAAGGUCACCGGGGUGGACCUCAUUUGGCGGAGAUGUGGAGGAGGGAAAGGGCUACAAGCUGAGGACGUGGGGCAAUGAAGGCAGAAUGUAUCAGAUGCAUCAAAAGCAGCAGAAAUGGGGCCUCAUGAGAGAGACAGAGUAGCCUGCCCCUGAGUUCUGGGUUGGUUCUCCAGCCCCCUUAUUUGAGCAGGGAAGCAACAUAAGCAGGUGUGGGGUUAUAGUGGGCUCUGGUCCAAGAAUGCCUGGCUGUGAAUCAUUAGUUAUGUGAUCUCGGGCAAGUUGCUUAACCUUUCUGUACCUCAGUUCCCUUAUUUGCACAGUGCGAGUCACAGCACUGUCCUCACAGGGGUGUAGUGAGCAUUACAUGAGAAAAUACAGGUAAUGCAUUUUGAACAAAGGCUUCCUUUUCACCUUAUUUCCUCUAUUUAUUUUAAAGAUUUUAUUUAUUUUUAGAGAGGGGAAGGGAAGGAGAAACAGAGGAAAAGAAACAUCAACGUGUAGUUGCCUCUCACACACCCCCUACAGGGGACCUGGCCCGCACGUGCCCUGACUGGGAAUUGAACUGGCAACCCUUUGGUUCACAGGUCCACGCUCAAUCCACUGAGCUACACCAGCCAGGUCUAUCUUAUUUUCUUUAAGUAAAGAGUUCAAGUGUCGUUUCCUUCACAAAACUUUCCCUCGCGCCCUGACUGGUCCCUUGGCUUCCAGGAGGGACAUUACCUUCUGACGGUUCUCUUGGUCCUCCUUCUCAGUGGCCUUACCUAGUUCCUUUAUCUUCUUGACCUCUCCUCUCUGCUUUCACCUUAGUGAGCUCACCUAGUUGUCUUGUGCUCUUAAGUACCUUAAAAUAUCAUUUAUUAGCUAACAGUUCUCCUAAGUUAAUCACCAACUCCAACUUCUUUCCCCGACUCCAGACUUCCAUGUCUGAUUUCUUAUUUGGCACCUCCAUUUAAAUCUCCAAUAGGCAAUUUAAAAUAUAACUUGCCUCAAAGUGACUCUUAUGCCCCCUCAAAAUACCUGUUCCUCCUUAUAAGCUUCCACAGAUCAACAAAUGACAAACCCUUCAAAUGUUGAUAAAGCUAAAAAUCUUAGCAUCCUCCUCGACUCCUUUCUUCUUCUCAUGCCCACCACCAAUCCAUCAGCAAAAAUCUAGUAUGUGAUCUCUUCUUGCCACCUCAAUGUUACUGCCCUGACGGAGGAAGCACCUUCAUCUCUCUGCUGUGUGACCUUGGAUUACCUCUCUGGGUCUCUGUUAUGAGGAGUAAAUGAGUUAUUAUUUGUAAAGUGGUUGAUGGUGUCUGUCACACAGGAAGCCCCAUCUAAGUGCUUUUCAAGUAAAUAAAAAAUGACUUGAAUACAGAACUAGCUUUCCAACAGCCCUAGUCCCCCUGCAGUCUAUUCUGAAUACAGCAGCCUCGUGAUACUUUUAAAGCCCAGGCCAGACAGAUCCUGUUGCUGUGCUGCACCUGACCUCCACUCCCACCCGUCCGGUUGGAUCCGGGGCAGCCCCAGAUCAUGGACAUACCAGGGACUAUCCCCUUUGGGCCUUUGCUCUUGCUUGUGCCUCCUUCUGAUUAAAUGCUACCAAGUUAGGUCUCUUCUGGCCUCAUUUUGCUAAUUGGCCUGUCUCUUCUUUCACUCUGAUUUUCCUCCAUAUGUCCAAUCACCACCUGACACUCAAUCUACUUGGUAGCUGAUUGCCUCCCCUCCAACGCUGAAGAUCUGCAACAACA